ACAGCUACUCAGCCUUUUGGCUAAGAUCAAGCGAGAUAGCUGCUGUUAUCAAUUUAAUGUUUGAUAUACCUCCACUUAAUGGGAAAUGCAUUACAGAGGCAGCAUUUCCUAGUGCAU
RNAcentral lists this small nuclear RNA (117 nucleotides) under Crocodylus porosus (Australian saltwater crocodile). RNAcentral describes it as "U2 spliceosomal RNA (ENSCPRG00005007083.1)". The record is from RNAcentral. Lineage: Eukaryota; Metazoa; Chordata; Crocodylia; Crocodylidae.